CAACUACAGAUAAACCCUAUCACAAGAGGACUGAACUAGUCUUUUAAAUUAUCAGCCUAGAAAAUUACUCAGUAAAGUAACAAAUUUUAUAACACGUCCUUGCCAUUUUUUUUGUAAAGCAGCUAUUAUCUUCUCUUAAUUAAGUUGUCACAGAUUCUAAGGUAUGUUGAUAACAGUUUUUCAGGUUGUCAUUCACGCUCCGAUCGUGCCUCGAUGGCUUUCUCAGCUGUCUGAACUGAAGAGUUUGCCUGUUUAAAAUAUUUUGGAAUCUAUCCACUUUGGCUUUUCUCUACACUUAUCGUGGCAUUGAAGAGCAGAGCUGGGCAUUUAUCCUGCUCAGCGGAGUCCUCAAUUUCAUUCCCAUCUGGAGUCACACACCAGUACUUGUGGGGCAAUUACCUUGGCGGAAGAAAGCGUUAUGGAACUGAUCCUCUGAACUUAGUGAAAAUCUACGAAAGAGAUUUGUCUGUGGCCUCGAUUGCUUGGUAUGAUGCUGUCUGCAAAUGCAUCUGAACAUCUCCAGUGAAGGUAAAAUAACCCUCUUUUUGGCAUUGUAUAAAUCCGUGUUGUGCUCU
RNAcentral lists this long non-coding RNA (575 nucleotides) under Struthio camelus australis. RNAcentral describes it as "lncRNA (ENSSCUG00000015464.1)". Lineage: Eukaryota; Metazoa; Chordata; Aves; Struthioniformes; Struthionidae. The record is from RNAcentral.